CAAUAGCGUAUACUAAUGUUGUUGCAGUUAAAAGCUCGUAGUCGGAUUUCAGUAGGCUCAGUUAAGUAUCCAUUGUGGUAUCUUUAUGGGCCUGCUUCUUUGACAGAAACUUCUAUGUUAUUCAUUUAGCGUGGGUAGCGACUGUCUCUUUUACUUUGAGAAAAUUAGAGUGUUCAAAGCAGGUAUUAGCCUGAAUAUUACUCUUGGAAUAAUGCUAUAAGACUUUGGUUCUAAUGUAUUGGUGAUUGGGACCAGAGUAAUGAUUGAUAGGGACGGUUGGGGUCUUACGUACUGCAAAGCGAGAGGUGAAAUUCUUGGACCUUUGUAUGACGAACAACUGCGAAAGCAUUGGACUAGGACGUUCCCGUUGAUCAAGAACGAAAGUUGGGGGAUCGAAGAUGAUCAGAU
This 408-nucleotide ribosomal RNA is filed under the name uncultured eukaryote. RNAcentral's name for it is "SSU rRNA". It matches the Rfam family "Eukaryotic small subunit ribosomal RNA", at positions 592 to 1013 of the family's 1831-position model. The record is from RNAcentral.